GGGUCCUCCAGAAACCAUGGUCGCCUGCUGAGGACUUUUAACCCCGAAGUUGCUGGAGCUGAUUGUUAUUGCUGUGCAUUACACUGUUUGGUUGUUGCUGUUGUAAUUUUUUUUUGGAAAAAAAGUUCUGAAAUAUGUCAUUCCCAGCUAAUCAUUCUUCUGAUACUGUGGUUUAUGAUGUAGUGGUUGUGGGAUCCUGUAUGACUGACUUGGUCAGUUUUACACCACGUUUACCGAAAGCAGGAGAAACCAUACAUGGGCACAAGUUUUUUAUUGGGUUUGGAGGAAAAGGGGCCAAUCAGUGUAUCCAGGCAGCACGGCUCGGAGCCAAAGCAGCAAUGGUUAGCAAGGUUGGGAAAGAUUCAUUUGGAGAUAAUUACAUCGAAAACUUCAAAAGUAAUGGCGUGUCUACAGAAUAUGUGGGUCAAACAGAUGAAGCAUCGACAGGAGUUGCCCCUAUUACGGUGAAUGAUGAAGGACAGAAUGCAAUCAUUAUAGUAGCUGGUGCAAACCUGCUAUUGAAUUCAGAAGAUUUGGAGAAAGCUUCCGAAGUAAUCCGUUGUGCAAAGGUGGUUGUCUGUCAGCUAGAAAUUCGAGCUGCCGUCACUUUAGAAGCUUUGAAAAUAGCUCACAAAUCUGGAGUGAAAACUAUCUUCAAUCCCGCACCAGCUGUUGCUGACCUUGAUCCUGAGUUUUACAAAGAGAGUGAUGUCUUCUGUUGCAACGAGACUGAGGCAGAGAUUCUAACAGGCAUUGGAGUGUGCAACGUUGAGGAUGCUGGAAGGGCAGGCUCCAUGCUGCUGGAGAAGGGCUGCGGUUCGGUGAUCAUCACUUUGGGAGCUGCGGGCAGUGUGCUAAUGUCACAGGACAAGCAGACUCCUCGUUAUAUUCCCGCAAAAAAAGUAAAGGCAGUGGAUACUACGGGUGCAGGUGACAGCUUUUUGGGCGCUCUGGCAUUCUACAUGGCUUGUUAUCCUUACAUGGAACUGGACGAAAUGAGCAGAAGGGCCUGUGACAUCGCUUCCAGAGUGGCAGGUGAAGAAGGCCACCUCCAGUGGCAGUGACAGCAACACCAAGAUGAGCCAGAUGCAACUCCACCCCAGCCCAGGGUCUCCCGGACUUGCAGGCUAGGCUGAAGCUCCAGAUCCACAGCUAGGCUGGGCGCUUGAAGGAGUGGAAGCAUCAGUGAAAGGGACAGACGGCGGAUUGGCGGCAGCGUGUGGAGGAGUGUCAGAUGGGGAACAGGAGGGAGGUAUGGAACCCACGCAUCCUCAGGCCCAUGGUACCAACUCAAACGCGGCGGUUGUGGCAGCGGCAGUGGCAGAGGCCCAUAACCGACACCCCAGAGCCCGUUACAGAGACCCAGCAGCGACUGGAGGAAGUACAAGAAGGAGAGAGUGUCAAGGAACAAAAAAUCCAAACACUCAAGGGUACUGAUGCCCCUCUGGAACCUUCUGCCCCUCCCCUUCCCUCCGACUCCAUCCCUUAAGCUAAUCCCCUUUUUUGCCCUGCAUUCUGACCUUUCCCUCUCUGAUGCUGAGCAAUCUGUGCUCAGCAAAGGACUUGGCUUUUAUUCCUUUGUAACCCCAACUCAAUUAAUUUUGGGCAGGAUGUGUCGCUGAACUCUUUUUCUGUUGGUACCAAGUCACUUCUAGCUAAAAGUCUUCACAGAGAAAACAUCCCUGACAGCCAAAUCAGCAGAAGAAAAGCGUUUAAUGACUUGAGAACAGCAGAAUAA
This is an RNA transcript of Rhincodon typus (whale shark), 1738 nucleotides long. It is a transcript of the gene named ribokinase, with no coding region annotated. The transcript is spliced from 10 exons. The record is from RefSeq and is a predicted model, not a curated record. Lineage: Eukaryota; Metazoa; Chordata; Chondrichthyes; Orectolobiformes; Rhincodontidae.